This 220-nucleotide unclassified non-coding RNA is filed under the name soil metagenome. RNAcentral's name for it is "partial contains 5.8S ribosomal RNA, internal transcribed spacer 2, and large subunit ribosomal RNA". The record is from RNAcentral.
AACCUUAUGGACCUGCGGGCGUAUACCUGCGGAAGGAUCAUUAUAGAGUUUUCUAAACUCCCAACCCAUGUGAACUUACCUUUUGUUGCCUCGGCAGAGGUUACCUGGUACCUGGAGACAGGCUACCCUGUAGCAGCUGCCGGUGGACUACUAAACUCUUGUUAUUUUAUGUAAUCUGAGCGUCUUAUUUUAAUAAGUCAAAACUUUCAACAAUGGAUCU